AUUGAACGCUGGCGGCAUGCCUUACACAUGCAAGUCGAACGGCAGCACGGGUGCUUGCACCUGGUGGCGAGUGGCGAACGGGUGAGUAAUACAUCGGAACAUGUCCUGUAGUGGGGGAUAGCCCGGCGAAAGCCGGAUUAAUACCGCAUACGAUCUACGGCUGAAAGCGGGGGACCUUCGGGCCUCGCGCGCUAGGGUUGGUCGAUGGCUGAUUAGCUAGUUGGUGGGGUAAAGGCCUACCAAGGCGACGAUCAGUAGCUGGUCUGAGAGGACGACCAGCCACACUGGGACUGAGACACGGCCCAGACUCCUACGGGAGGCAGCAGUGGGGAAUUUUGGACAAUGGGCGAAAGCCUGAUCCAGCAAUGCCGCGUGUGUGAAGAAGGCCUUCGGGUUGUAAAGCACUUUUGUCCGGAAAGAAAUCCUUGGCCCUAAUACGGUCGGGGGAUGACGGUACCGGAAGAAUAAGCACCGGCUAACUACGUG
RNAcentral lists this ribosomal RNA (486 nucleotides) under uncultured bacterium. RNAcentral describes it as "partial 16S ribosomal RNA". It matches the Rfam family "Bacterial small subunit ribosomal RNA", at positions 30 to 507 of the family's 1533-position model. The record is from RNAcentral.